Long non-coding RNA from Mesocricetus auratus (golden hamster), 1671 nucleotides. RefSeq lists it as uncharacterized. The record is from RefSeq and is a predicted model, not a curated record. The transcript has 5 exons. Lineage: Eukaryota; Metazoa; Chordata; Mammalia; Rodentia; Cricetidae.
AUGACCUAUAGGGAAUGAUAACAGAAACAGUGCCAGGUCAGAGUGUGCAUGGUGCAAACAGACUAGGCGAGCUUUGCUCUCCGCUACAGACCAGUUGUGGUGAUCAUUUCUCCCACUUCCCUUUGUCAGGAUCUCUUGCCUGUUUACUGGAAACUCGUUUGACUGUAACACCCUCAGCAGCCACACCAAUGCCGGUAAUUCAUCUUGUCAAAGAGAUCCACCAGAAUUGCGAACGAUAAGGACUUACAUCCAGCUACUGUGGUCAACUCAAGGAUACCAACUCAGGAGAGAGGGAACAGAAGAAGAUGGAUACAUUCAAAGCUCUUAAAUUUGACUGAUGCCAGAUACUGAACAGGAACCAACCUGUAAUGAGACAAGAACUCAGACAUCACUAUGUCUGUCUUACUGGAAUUGUGAAUGUCACCACGAGAAAAUUGGUUCCUUGAAGGAGAGAGUAUCCGUGAGCAUUUUCUACAUGGAGGCUACAAAGCGCUAGUUCUAAACAAAGCUGGGAUCCCACACCCCAAGGAAUGAGAAAUCGAUGCUGUUAGCUGUUGAUGUGUCCAAUACUUGGGUAUUGAUAUUAUAGUGUACAAGAGAGGGAGGCAGGGGCUGGGGUGGGGGGAUCUGCAUGAACCCAGGCUGUGCUCUGUAGUGGGAGCUCUCAGCACUUCGGGAGAGAUUUCCAAAGAUGUCCUUCUCUAUCCUGGGCUUCCAAACCCAAUGACUCAUGCAAUGCCUGGAAAGAGAACCUGACAUUUCCCAGAACUCCUUGGUGAGCGGCUGCUUAUCACCACCUUUCAAAAAAUGCCAGGCUCAGAAGGGACUACAGCAGUUGAAAGACUUAAAAGGACUUGUAGCUUUGAGCCCAAGAAAGUUAGGGGUUUUCUUUUCUACUGUUAAAGCAGGGGUUUUACUUCAGGUAGAGAUUAUCUGAGCCUAAAAGGUUUUCUUGGGGUCAGUUUGUUUAGUUUGUUUUCUGCUGUUGCCGUUGAAAAGUUGCAGGAGGGUAACUGGUUAAGUUCACAGAGUCUUGGGGUGAGGGAACUUUGUGAUUCAGGUGGUGCUAGGAAUGUAGUUCGGGGGCGGAGCACUUGCCUGGCAUGCAUGAAGCUCUGGGUUCAAUUCCUGGCUCUGGAAAAACAAAACAAGAGACUGUGCUUAGAAACCAAUCCUGUCAUUUCCCCAGUUGGGGCUUGUAGUCACCCAGUUUUAUUUCCCUUUUGGUAAAACAGAGACACUGAGCUCCACCUCUCAGAGGUGAGAACACAGAGGGCUGAGAAGUGACCAGCAUGUCUGUAACAUGGUAUUACUGAAAAACAAUCACAGCUUUUAUUUGGUAUUUUUUAAUUUUAAUUUUUAAUAUAUUUUUAUUUUAACUUGUUUCAUUGCUUGCAAUGUAAAUUAUUAUUUAUUAUCAGUAGUUUUAAUCAAUGAUAAAUAAUAAUAGAGGUGACUAGUGUGGCUUUCUGCUUGUGGCAUUAAUGAAAUCUUCCAGAGCAAAGAACUUACAUGUAAUUCAUUUUGACAUAAUGUGUCUUAAGUUUUUUUAGUUGUUAAUCAGUGAUUGAGAGUGAAAUAAACUAUGCCAAAUGCAUGUUUAACUGACUCUUGUUUUGACCAGUUAACACUGUGAAUUAAAUCACUAGAUUAAAAAUGUUGCCCUGUUUU